AUAAAAGGGGCGACGCCUGCCCAGUGAAUAUUAAACGGCCGCGGUACCCUAACCGUGCAAAGGUAGCAUAAUCAUUUGUCUAUUAAUUGUAGACCUGUAUGAAAGGCAAAAUGAGAGCCCAACUGUCUCUUAUAACAAAUCAAUAAAACUGAUCUUCUAGUACAAAAGCUAAAAUACUGACAUAAGACCAGAAGACCCUGUGAAGCUUUAACAAACCCAUUAAAUCUAAUAAUGAUUACUUUCGGUUGGGGCGACCUUGGAAUAAAAAAGAACUUCCAAUAUAUGACUACUCAUAAAAGAGGCAAACAAGCCUACAUUAGAUCCAGCAUAGCUGAUAAUUGAAAUAAGUUACUCCAGGGAUAACAGCGCUAUCUUCUUUAAGAGCCCAUAUCAAAAAGAAGGUUUACGACCUCGAUGUUGGAUCAGGACAUCCCAGUAAUGCAUCCGUUACUAAAGGUUCGUUUGUUCAACGAUUAACAGUCCUACGUGAUCUGAU
RNAcentral lists this ribosomal RNA (496 nucleotides) under Trimeresurus salazar (Salazar's pit viper). RNAcentral's name for it is "Trimeresurus sp. ZAM-2019a partial large subunit ribosomal RNA". It matches the Rfam family "Bacterial large subunit ribosomal RNA", at positions 1843 to 2609 of the family's 2925-position model. Lineage: Eukaryota; Metazoa; Chordata; Lepidosauria; Squamata; Viperidae. The record is from RNAcentral.